Molecule: ribosomal RNA, 460 nt
Filed under: uncultured bacterium
Lineage: Bacteria
Description: partial 16S ribosomal RNA
Rfam family: Bacterial small subunit ribosomal RNA
Source: RNAcentral
CCUACGGGCGGCAGCAGUGAGGAAUAUUGGUCAAUGGGCGCAAGCCUGAACCAGCCAAGUCGCGUGAGGGAAGACGGCCCUACGGGUUGUAAACCUCUUUUGCCGGGGAGCAAGCCUGAGCACGUGUGCCCAGGCGGAGAGUACCCGGAGAAAAAGCAUCGGCUAACUCCGUGCCAGCAGCCGCGGUAAUACGGAGGAUGCGAGCGUUAUCCGGAUUUAUUGGGUUUAAAGGGUGCGUAGGCGGAGUGUCAAGUCAGCGGUAAAAUUUCGGGGCUCAACCCCGUCGUGCCGUUGAAACUGACGCCCUUGAGUGAGUGAGAAGUAAGCGGAAUGCGUGGUGUAGCGGUGAAAUGCAUAGAUAUCACGCAGAACGCCGAUUGCGAAGGCAGCUUACCGGCGCUCAACUGACGCUGAGGCACGAAAGUGCGGGUAUCGAACAGGAUUAGAUACCCUGGUAGUC